RNAcentral lists this ribosomal RNA (370 nucleotides) under uncultured bacterium. Its description in RNAcentral is "bacterial SSU rRNA". It matches the Rfam family "Bacterial small subunit ribosomal RNA", at positions 29 to 390 of the family's 1533-position model. The record is from RNAcentral.
AAUGAACGCUGGCGGCGCGCCUAAUACAUGCAAGUCGAGCGAGAAGACGUAGCAAUACGUUUGUAAAGCGGCGAACGGGUGAGGAAUACAUGGGUAACCUACCCUCGAGUGGGGAAUAACUAGCCGAAAGGUUAGCUAAUACCGCGUACGCUCCUUGGACUUCGGUUCAGGGAGGAAAGCGAUACCGUGGGUAUCGCGCUCUUGGUUGGGCUCAUGUCCUAUCAGCUUGUUGGUGAGGUAACGGCUCACCAAGGCUUCGACGGGUAGCUGGUCUGAGAGGACGAUCAGCCACACUGGCACUGCGACACGGGCCAGACUCCUACGGAGGCAGCAGUAAGGAAUAUUGCGCAAUGGGCGAAAGCCUGACGCG